This 253-nucleotide ribosomal RNA is filed under the name uncultured bacterium. RNAcentral's name for it is "partial 16S ribosomal RNA". It matches the Rfam family "Bacterial small subunit ribosomal RNA", at positions 524 to 776 of the family's 1533-position model. The record is from RNAcentral.
UACGUAGGGCGCAAGCGUUAUCCGGAAUUACUGGGCGUAAAGCGUGCGCAGGCGGUUUUGUAAGUCAGAUGUGAAAUCCCCGGGCUUAACCUGGGAACUGCGUUUGAAACUACAAGGCUAGAGUAUGGCAGAGGGGGGUGGAAUUCCACGUGUAGCAGUGAAAUGCGUAGAGAUGUGGAGGAACACCGAUGGCGAAGGCAGCCCCCUGGGUUAACACUGACGCUCAGGCACGAAAGCGUGGGGAGCAAACAGG